UUGAACGCUGGCGGCAUGCCUUACACAUGCAAGUCGAACGGCAGCACGGGGGCAACCCUGGUGGCGAGUGGCGAACGGGUGAGUAAUACAUCGGAACGUGUCCUGUAGUGGGGGAUAGCCCGGCGAAAGCCGGAUUAAUACCGCAUACGACCUAAGGGAGAAAGCGGGGGAUCUUCGGACCUCGCGCUAUAGGGGCGGCCGAUGGCAGAUUAGCUAGUUGGUGGGGUAAAGGCCUACCAAGGCGACGAUCUGUAGCUG
Molecule: ribosomal RNA, 258 nt
Filed under: Burkholderia sp. ISO388_OTU58
Lineage: Bacteria; Pseudomonadati; Pseudomonadota; Betaproteobacteria; Burkholderiales; Burkholderiaceae
Description: partial 16S ribosomal RNA
Rfam family: Bacterial small subunit ribosomal RNA
Source: RNAcentral